CCUCCUUCGGGCCUCUUGCCAUCAGAUGUGCCCAGAUGGGAUUAGCUKGUUGGUGAGGUAACGGCUCACCAAGGCGACGAUCCCUAGCUGGUCUGAGAGGAUGACCAGCCACACUGGAACUGAGACACGGUCCAGACUCCUACGGGAGGCAGCAGUGGGGAAUAUUGCACAAUGGGCGCAAGCCUGAUGCAGCCAUGCCGCGUGUAUGAAGAAGGCCUUCGGGUUGUAAAGUACUUUCAGCGGGGAGGAAGGKRKURWGGUUAAUAACCKYAGYMAUUGACGUUACCCGCAGAAGAAGCACCGGCUAACUCCGUGCCAGCAGCCGCGGUAAUACGGAGGGUGCAAGCGUUAAUCGGAAUUACUGGGCGUAAAGCGCACGCAGGCGGUCUGUCAAGUCGGAUGUGAAAUCCCCGGGCUCAACCUGGGAACUGCAUUCGAAACUGGCAGGCUUGAGUCUUGUAGAGGGGGGUAGAAUUCCAGGUGUAGCGGUGAAAUGCGUAGAGAUCUGGAGGAAUACCGGU
This 521-nucleotide ribosomal RNA is filed under the name Salmonella enterica. RNAcentral's name for it is "bacterial SSU rRNA". The record is from RNAcentral. Lineage: Bacteria; Pseudomonadati; Pseudomonadota; Gammaproteobacteria; Enterobacterales; Enterobacteriaceae.